This 380-nucleotide ribosomal RNA is filed under the name uncultured organism. Its description in RNAcentral is "partial 16S ribosomal RNA". It matches the Rfam family "Bacterial small subunit ribosomal RNA", at positions 527 to 896 of the family's 1533-position model. The record is from RNAcentral.
GUAGGUGGCAAGCGUUGUCCGGAAUUAUUGGGCGUAAAGCGCGCGCAGGUGGUUCUUUAAGUCUGAUGUGAAAGCCCCCCGGCUCAACCGGGGAGGGUCAUUGGAAACUGGGGAACUUGAGUGCAGGAGAGGAAAGUGGAAUUCCACGUGUAGCGGUGAAAUGCGUAGAUAUGUGGAGGAACACCAGUGGCGGAGGCGACUUUCUGGCCUGUAACUGACACUGAGGCGCGAAAGCGUGGGGAGCAAACAGGAUUAGAUACCCUGGUAGUCCACGCCGUAAACGAUGAGUGCUAAGUGUUGGGGGGGGUUUUACCCGCCCCCCGUCAGUGCUGCAGCUAACGCAUUAAGCACUCCGCCUGGGGAGUACGGUCGCAAGACUG